AAGAUGGGAUGCUCCCAUUUUCUUCCUUUGGAAACUGUAAUGGGUAAACAGGUAUCAGAUUGUAGUAACAAGAGGAGCAUAUUAAGGAUCAAAGCAAAGCCUGAGGAUGAUAGGUGCAUAAAAAUACGUUUGUUAUCCAUUGCAGGACUUUUACAGGACAGAUGGCUUCUCAAAUUCUGCAUCCAGGCAGAUAAGGAAAAGAUUUCAGCACAGAAGAGGAUUAACUGCAGCACAGGAACAGAAAUGAACAGUCAGUGUUUAAAGGAAAUACAAGAACUUCUAUGCCUUACUGUCAGAGAAAAAUGUCAGGAGGUCUGGAAGACUUCUGGACCAUUACUGCUUCUGACUUCCUCUCUCUGUGAGCAAAGGGUUAUCACAGGUCAACUGCAGAGUGUAAAGUGUGGCAGCAAAUUGUGGGGCAAACAGGAAAGCAAGCUAAUGCUGUCUACUGUUUUCACAACAAAAAAAGUCAGAAAUAUCAUAAACACUGAAAGACAUCUUGAAUAA
Molecule: long non-coding RNA, 507 nt
Filed under: Taeniopygia guttata (zebra finch)
Lineage: Eukaryota; Metazoa; Chordata; Aves; Passeriformes; Estrildidae
Description: lncRNA (ENSTGUG00000025397.1)
Source: RNAcentral